RNAcentral lists this ribosomal RNA (402 nucleotides) under uncultured prokaryote. RNAcentral describes it as "bacterial SSU rRNA". It matches the Rfam family "Bacterial small subunit ribosomal RNA", at positions 355 to 774 of the family's 1533-position model. The record is from RNAcentral.
UAGGGAAUAUUGGAAAUGGACGAAAGUCUGAUCUAGCAACACCGCGUGUGCGAAGAAAGCCUUCGGGUUGUAAAGCCCUUUUUGGAAGGAUUAGGAAUGACUGUACUUCCCGAAUAAGUCUCGGCUAACUACGUGCCAGCAGCCGCGGUAACACGUAGGAGGCAAACGUUAUCCGGAUUUACUGGGCGUAAAGCGCGUGUAGGUGGUUCGGUAAGUAGGGCGUGAAAGCUCCUGGCUCAACUUGGGGAGGCCGUUCGAAACUGCAGAGCUAGAGUAUGGUAGAGGGAGGUGGAAUUCCGGGUGUAGCGGUGGAAUGCGCAGAUAUCCGGAGGAACACCAGUGGCGAAAGCGGCCUCCUGGACCAUUCCUGACACUCAGACGCGAAAGCUAGGGUAGCAAACG